RNAcentral lists this ribosomal RNA (434 nucleotides) under uncultured archaeon. RNAcentral's name for it is "bacterial SSU rRNA". It matches the Rfam family "Archaeal small subunit ribosomal RNA", at positions 19 to 458 of the family's 1478-position model. The record is from RNAcentral.
GGACCUGACUGCUAUCGGAUUGCUACUAAGCCAUGCGAGUCAUUGUAGCAAUACAAGGCAUACGGCUCAGUAACGCGUAGUCAACCUAACCUAUGGACGGGAAUAACCUCGGGAAACUGAGAAUAAUGCCCGAUAGAACAUUAUGACUGGAAUGGUUUAUGUUCCAAAUGAUUUAUCGCCGUAGGAUGGGACUGCGGCCUAUCAGUUUGUUGGUGAGGUAAUGGCCCACCAAGACUAUUACAGGUACGGGCUCUGAGAGGAGUAGCCCGGAGAUGGGUACUGAGACACGGACCCAGGCCCUAUGGGGCGCAGCAGGCGAGAAAACUUUGCAAUGUGCGAAAGCACGACAAGGUUAAUCCGAGUGGUUUCUGCUAAAGAAACCUUUUGUCAGUCCUAGAAACACUGAUGAAUAAGGGGUGGGCAAGUUCUGGUGU